RNAcentral lists this ribosomal RNA (250 nucleotides) under uncultured bacterium. Its description in RNAcentral is "partial 16S ribosomal RNA". It matches the Rfam family "Bacterial small subunit ribosomal RNA", at positions 524 to 773 of the family's 1533-position model. The record is from RNAcentral.
UACGGAGGGUGCAAGCAUUAAUCGGAUUUAUUGGGCGUAAAGGGCGCGUAGGCGGUUUUUUAAGUCAGAUGUGAAAUUCCAGAGCUCAACUCUGGAGCUGCAUUUGAAACUGGAAGACUAGAGGAGUGGCGGAGAAAAUGGAAUUCCACGUGUAGCGGUGAAAUGCGUAGAUAUGUGGAAGAACACCAGUGGCGAAAGCGGUUUUCUAGCUUAUUCCUGACGCUGAGGCGCGAGAGCAAGGGGAGCAAAC